UCCUGAAGACAUCCAUUGUGAUCAGCUGAUGGUGUAUUCUUCUACAAAUACAUUGUGCAUGUGUGAGCCAAAAUAUGUGUGGGAGAUUUGUUUAAGGUCACCCCCCCCACUGUGCUUUUUGCAAAAGUGCAGUAACAUGGAUUGAUGGAUUGCUGCGCACCUGGGUUUUCUUUUCACUUAACCUCGUAUUUGGAGAUUAGUCCUGGAUCAGC
Molecule: long non-coding RNA, 212 nt
Filed under: Homo sapiens (human)
Lineage: Eukaryota; Metazoa; Chordata; Mammalia; Primates; Hominidae
Description: HSALNT0200549
Source: RNAcentral